CAAUAAGCGGAGGAAAAGAAACCAACAGGGAUUGCCCUAGUAACGGCGAGUGAAGCGGCAACAGCUCAAAUUUGAAAUCUGACUACUUUGUAGUCCGAAUUGUAAUUUGUAGAGGAUGCUUUUGGUGAGGUGCUUUCUGAGUUCCCUGGAACGGGACGCCAAAGAGGGUGAGAGCCCCGUACAGUUAGAUACUAAACCUUUGUAUAGCUCCUUCGACGAGUCGAGUAGUUUGGGAAUGCUGCUCUAAAUGGGAGGUAUAUCUCUUCUAAAGCUAAAUAUAGGCUAGAGACCGAUAGCGCACAAGUAGAGUGAUCGAAAGAUGAAAAGCACUUUGAAAAGAGAGUUAAACAGCACGUGAAAUUGUUGAAAGGGAAGCGCCUAUGACCAGACUUGUCUCUAUCAGUUUUGGUAGUUUUCGGACUGCUUUACUUCUGUUAGUACAGGCCAACAUCAGUUUGUUGUCGGGGAGAAAGGCUUAGGGAAUGUGACUCCUUCGGGAGUGUUAUAGCCCUUUGCAUAAUACCCUUCGGCAGACUGAGGACCGCGCUUCGGCAAGGAUGUUGGCGUAAUGG
This 572-nucleotide ribosomal RNA is filed under the name Phialophoropsis ferruginea. Its description in RNAcentral is "LSU rRNA". It matches the Rfam family "Eukaryotic large subunit ribosomal RNA", at positions 44 to 637 of the family's 3401-position model. The record is from RNAcentral. RNAcentral also lists the same sequence under 1 other name. Lineage: Eukaryota; Fungi; Ascomycota; Sordariomycetes; Microascales; Ceratocystidaceae.